RNAcentral lists this ribosomal RNA (245 nucleotides) under uncultured bacterium. Its description in RNAcentral is "partial 16S ribosomal RNA". It matches the Rfam family "Bacterial small subunit ribosomal RNA", at positions 524 to 768 of the family's 1533-position model. The record is from RNAcentral.
UACGAAGGGGGCGAGCGUUGUUCGGAAUUACUGGGCGUAAAGGGCGCGCAGGCGGCUCUUGAAGUCAGGUGUGAAGGCCCCGGGCUCAACCUGGGAAUUGCACUUGAUACUCGAGGGCUUGAGUGCGGGAGAGGAGAGUGGAAUUCCCAGUGUAGUGGUGAAAUUCGUAGAUAUUGGGAAGAACACCGGUGGCGAAGGCGGCUCUCUGGACCGUAACUGACGCUGAGGCGCGAAGGCGUGGGGAG